AUGCCCCGUCUACGCCAAAGUGAGAGAGAACGAGCUAUUGGGAUGUUGGCAGCAGGGAUGACUCAAGUGCAGGUUGCAAAUCAUUUUAAUGUCUCUAGAAUGACUGUUGCAAGGCUUAAGACUCGUCUUAGAGAUACUGGCACAACAAAUGAUCGCCCCCGUAGUGGCAGGCCACGUGAAACGAUGUUACGUCAAGACAGGCACAUCCGCAUCAUUCCUCUCAGGAAUCGAUUUGUAAACGCGUCAAAAACUUCACGUCAAACCUACGGAAGACAUAACAACAGAAUAUCUGCUCAAACAGUUCGUAACCGAUUACGUCAAGUUGGUCUAAGAGCUCGUCGUCCAUUGAAGGGAUCUAUCCUUACGCAGCGUCUCGGAUGGCGCGACUUCAAUGGACUCGGGUACGAAUUCGAUGGAACAGGCAAACAUGGAGACAGGUUCUUUUUACCGAUGGAUCUAAAUUCAACUUGCAAUUUAGCGACGGCAGAGCCAGGGUCUAAUGGAGGCGCAAUGAACGAUUUUCUGAUGCGUGCGUGCAGGAAACACCUCAGUUUGGUGUUGACGGAAUCAUGGUAUGGGGCGGAAUAUCCUACUAGGAACGCACCGAGCUCAAAAUCAUCAUUGGUUAUAUAUUGGUGA
This 639-nucleotide small RNA is filed under the name Mytilus galloprovincialis (Mediterranean mussel). Lineage: Eukaryota; Metazoa; Mollusca; Bivalvia; Mytilida; Mytilidae. The record is from RNAcentral.